GCGGGUGUCGUAUAACGGUUAUUAUGUAGCCUUCCCAAGGCUGAGACGGGGGUUCGACUCCCCCACCCGCACCA
RNAcentral lists this transfer RNA (74 nucleotides) under Candidatus Saccharimonadota bacterium. RNAcentral's name for it is "Candidatus Saccharibacteria bacterium tRNA-Gly". It matches the Rfam family "tRNA". Rfam says of the family: Transfer RNA (tRNA) molecules are approximately 80 nucleotides in length. Their secondary structure includes four short double-helical elements and three loops (D, anti-codon, and T loops). The record is from RNAcentral. Lineage: Bacteria; Candidatus Saccharimonadota.